Molecule: long non-coding RNA, 1517 nt
Filed under: Durio zibethinus
Lineage: Eukaryota; Viridiplantae; Streptophyta; Magnoliopsida; Malvales; Malvaceae
Description: long non-coding RNA (DZIB_LNC002076)
Source: RNAcentral
UAAGUUUGAGUUCGUACGUGUUUGUCUUUUUGUUAUUGUUUUGUCUGUUUUUUCUUCUUUUUUUUUUUCUUUCAGUUGUUCAAUGGAAAUUUGUUUAAGGUUCUCUGGAAUUUUUAUUUUGCUUAAUUUGUUUAAGGUUCUUUGGAAUUUUUUUGGCCAUUUUCUUCUCAGAAAUUUUAAAACUUUAGGGAAUUUCAUUGCUGCGAUAACUCAAAGUUAGCUCUGAAAUCUAUUGUCUAAGAAGAAGAAUCAGUAGAUGAAUUAGAACCAAUUUAAAUAGGUUCAAAUGUUCAAAAUUGUAACUUGGCAAUAGACCCAUAUGCUUUAUUAGAAUGGAGAAAUGACUACUUUCAAGGAAAAAAUGAAACAAAUAAUGAGUUCUUUGAUGUCAAUUGUCCUUCUUCGCUAACAGACAGAAAACAAGAUUUGGUUUUCUCUUCCUUUUCCUAUUGGUUACCCAACAUUGUGUUUAUUGGCUUUCUUUCCUUUUUUCUUUUUGUUGCUUUGCUUGUGGAUGAUGAAGAAGAAAUACGUCAAGUUCACAUGAUUAUGAACUUGAUUUUGACUUCCAUAAAUGGUUCACCUAUAAAGAUGAGGUAGUUGCAUGUUCGUUUGUCAAUGGGGCCAGCAUGGCUUAACCUGGAGCCUGAGACCCGACCUUAUGGUUUAAGUAAUCAAAAGCAUGUGUCCUGUACUUUGGGCCUGAAAUUUUAAGUCAGGCUCAGUUCUUUGUCUAUCUUGUCAUGGAAGGAUUAGAGAUCAAAUCUUUGCUUGUGUAUUUGUCAGGCUUAGUAUUAGAAGAGAUAAUUGGAGUAAGAUCUUUGAAAAUAUAAAGCACAAAAACCACAAUGAAUCUGGAUAUCUAAAAUGUUUAAAUUACAGUUCUAUGACUAUCAUUCUAUCCAAGCCAUUCUUUUUUCUUAUCAUAGUCUAUUGUGUGCAAUCAUAAUUACAAAUGAAUCUGAAGAUUGAUGAGAAACAAGUGCUUUUGAAUUAUAAAAGGUUUCUUGUAGGUUAAUUUGAUCAAAUUGAAAAGAAAUAAUUUUCAUAACUGAAACUAUUUUGUUGAAAUUAUUACAAGAUUGCUGUCUCCAGUAAGUUAUUUGAAACGAGAACAAUUAGCUCUCUACAUAUUUGAUUGUAACUAAAAGAAAAAAGAGCAGUUCUCAAUGCAGGUACUACUAUGUCAAGAAUUGUGCUUUACCUUGUUUACUAUUUGGUGAUAAAUUCAAAAUGACUGAUAGGCUAUGACUGAGGUUUUGCUGCAACUUUGGCAAUUUUCUACUUGGUCAUGGUUACUGAUGCAAAAGUUUUACUUGAUGGCAGUGUGUGAAUAAACUAAAGUCUAAAAUGUAUUCAUUGUUCCUGCAAUUUCAUGAAGUUGCAGAAUUUGGCUUAACACUCAUUAUGCACUUGCUGGACCUGAUGCUGUUUUGUUUUUUUAUAUUUCCAAUCUGUUGGUUUUUUUGCUUCUUUUUGUUCGCUAAGCUUUUGAAAUUAUAAAAAUUUUACAGGAG